ACGGGGGGUGCAAGCGUUGUCCGGAAUCAUUGGGCGUAAAGCGUUCGUAGGCUGUAUGCCAAGUCUGGUGUUAAAGCCCGGGGCUCAACUCCGGAUCAGCACUGGAUACUGGCAAACUAGAAUAUGGUAGAGGUAAAGGGAAUUCCUGGUGUAGCGGUGAAAUGCGUAGAUAUCAGGAGGAACAUCGGUGGCGAAAGCGCUUUACUGGGCCAUUAUUGACGCUGAGGAACGAAAGCCGGGGGAGCAAAUGG
This 251-nucleotide ribosomal RNA is filed under the name uncultured prokaryote. RNAcentral describes it as "partial 16S ribosomal RNA". It matches the Rfam family "Bacterial small subunit ribosomal RNA", at positions 525 to 775 of the family's 1533-position model. The record is from RNAcentral.